GAGCACAGCUACAGCUAGGAGGGCAAGAGCAGGCAGCAGCCCCCGAGCCGGGCCACAUGCAACACAAACAACCCCACACCUGCGUCCUCCAGAAGCCCUGCCUGGCACAGUGGCAUGCGGGUGUCACGUCUGCAGAGGAGGGCACGGGGUCCACCUGAGACCGACCAGCUGCAGCAGGGCUGGCAGAUCCUGCGGAGGAAUGCUGCCCUAACUGUGAUGAGCCUCUGAAGCUCAGGCCUUGCCCCUCACCAGCGUGUGGCAGCACAAUGGAUGCAUCAUACUUUUCUAGCCACAUGGAGACACUGACUGUCCAAAUACCAGAAACCCUGCGGGAAGCCAAGGCAAGAAGAACCAUGAAGAAAGU
This 364-nucleotide long non-coding RNA is filed under the name Homo sapiens (human). Its description in RNAcentral is "non-protein coding lnc-SLC7A9-1:1". The record is from RNAcentral. Lineage: Eukaryota; Metazoa; Chordata; Mammalia; Primates; Hominidae.